Molecule: transfer RNA, 66 nt
Filed under: Sorineuchora bivitta
Lineage: Eukaryota; Metazoa; Arthropoda; Insecta; Blattodea; Pseudophyllodromiidae
Description: tRNA-Leu
Source: RNAcentral
UCUAAUAUGGCAGAUAAGUGCAAUGGAUUUAAGCUCCAGGAAUAAAGUAUACAGCUUUUUUUAGAA